UACAGAGGGUGCGAGCGUUAAUCGGAAUUACUGGGCGUAAAGCGUGCGUAGGUGGUUAUGUAAGUCGGAUGUGAAAGCCCCGGGCUCAACCUGGGAAUUGCAUUCGAGACUGCAUAGCUAGGAUGCGGAAGAGGGAAGCGGAAUUUCCGGUGUAGCGGUGAAAUGCGUAGAUAUCGGAAGGAACACCAGUGGCGAAAGCGGCUUCCUGGUCCAGCAUCGACGUUCAGGCACGAAAGCGUGGGGAGCAAACAGG
This 253-nucleotide ribosomal RNA is filed under the name uncultured bacterium. RNAcentral's name for it is "partial 16S ribosomal RNA". It matches the Rfam family "Bacterial small subunit ribosomal RNA", at positions 524 to 776 of the family's 1533-position model. The record is from RNAcentral.